This 362-nucleotide ribosomal RNA is filed under the name Rhaphiderus spiniger. RNAcentral describes it as "partial small subunit ribosomal RNA". The record is from RNAcentral. Lineage: Eukaryota; Metazoa; Arthropoda; Insecta; Phasmatodea; Phasmatidae.
UAAUAUUUUGGUUAUUAAAGUUUAUUUUUAUAUUUGAAAUUAAUUUUUUAUUUUUUAGGUGAAAUUUAAAAUAUUAUUAAUUUUGGUUUUAAGGUUCUUUGAAAUUCAAAAGAUAAACUAGGAUUAGAUACCCUAUUAUUUUGAAUGUUAAUUUAUCCAGGGUAGUAUUAGAUAUGUUCUUUAAACCUAAAGAAUUUGGCGGUAUUUUAGUCUAUUCAGAGGAAUCUGUCCCGUUAUCGAUAGUCCGCGAUUAAAUUUUACUUUAGUUUGUAUUCAGUAUGUAUACCGCCGUUAUUAGUUUAUUUUUUGAGAAUUAAUUUACUUUUAUUUUAAUUAAAAUAUAUUUCAGGUCAAGGUGCAGA